This is a long non-coding RNA of Cavia porcellus (domestic guinea pig), 4667 nucleotides long. RefSeq lists it as uncharacterized. The record is from RefSeq and is a predicted model, not a curated record. NCBI's taxonomy places the organism in Eukaryota, Metazoa, Chordata, Mammalia, Rodentia, Caviidae. The transcript has 3 exons.
CGCCCGCGCCUCCCCGCCCUCGCCCUCGCCGGCCGCGCCGCUACCAUAAAAGGUGACGUGGGGGAGGGGGCCGGGCCGGCGCCCCCACCUGCCCCCCCACCUGCCGGCCCGCCCCCGCCCCCGCCCCCUCCCUUUGUUCCCGGACCACUCCUCCCGCCCCUCCCCGCCUGGAGGUGGUGUCCUCCCGCCGCCCACCCCGCGAGGGGUCCUCCCCUCUCCGGGCCGGCCGGGUCACCUGGGUCGGCGGCCCCACCUUCCCGGGUCCGGUCUGUCCCGGGAUCCGCUUGGAUCUUAGCGGUCAGGCAGACCUGGCUUCUCUGGCCCUGCGCUAAAGUUGGGCCCUGGGCAGCCACUCCGACACCCCGAGCCUUGCUGUGUUCAUCUGGAAAGUGGGGGCGUCGCUGCCUACCUCUCCAGCGUGGCCUGGGGAUGAAGGCAGGGGACCGCGAGAGAGGAGCACGGGUCCGCGCCAUAGAUAAUGAGUUUGGGGCUGCUCGGGGAAUGCCCUGGGUGGGGAACGUCUAUUUGCUGUUCCCAGCGGACUCCUGCAGUCACCCUGUAGUAACAAAGGCAGGAACUCCAGUGGCUGCCAUUCACCAGGGCCGCCUGUGUGCCCACUUACAGACCGCUGCUAGUCCCGGACCUGGGCUCCAGGGCUGAUCAUUCCUGCAGCAUGGACCAGGACGCUGAGGUCCCAAGGGGUGAGGGGAGAAUUGAUUCAAGCCAGAACAGCAGGGGCCUCUGGGCACACUGGUCUGCCAGUCACAGGGACAGGAGUCACCCCCGCAGAUGCAGGAACCAAGGCUGCCCAGGCCCCGUGGCAGCCUGUACCUGCUGGGUGAGCCCUGCACUGCACCCUCUGCAGCACCCUUAGGAGAAGGCGCCCCAUGGCCCCAGCUGCAGGGAGGAGGGGCCCACUGGACACAGAGAUGGGAAGGACCUGCCUAGGGGCUGUAGGACCUCUUGUCAAGUGCUUGGUGAUGCAGGAGCUUAUUUACUUCAGGUGAACAAGACACACGCAGUAUUCCGUGAGCCACCCCACCAUGUCACCAGAGAACUGCAGAGCACCCAUGGGUUGACUUGCAGCCUGGCCCAAGGUCACAGUGACUCAGUCUAGGGUCCAGGCUCUCUGGGACAGUUUAGGGGAGGGUGGGGACCCAGGUGCCCCCACUCACCAGCUGUUCACCUCUGGCCGCCUCUCCCAGUUCCAGGCUGCUCCAGAUGGAGGGGACACCCAGGCCAACUCUCCCUCACCAGCCCUGGUGUCGGUGUCACCGAUAGGCAGGUGCCCGCCCGGUUCCAAACUUCCUGCAAUGGAAACCCAGGAAGUACACUGGGCCCUAGAACACAUGCCCUUUGUCGGCCGCUCCCAGGCCUGCUGUUCCCGCCUCCCUGCCCCAGGCUCAGGCCUGCUUUUCUGCCUCAAAUGCCCAGUGGGCAAGGGGCUGUGCUCCUGCUAGAGCCCAUGCAGCUUGGACUCCACAAACUCUGGGGGGCAUCUGCCACGUGCAGGCAGCAGGCAGGGACAAGGGGAUCGUAAGGAUCAAGUCCCCGUCUGUCCUCACCACCCAGAAUGCACAGGGAAGGAGGGGACAUGGAGCCAGGAGGCAAGUCAGUGCGACAGUCCCCAAGGGGCAUGGGAUGUGCUGUGAAGGAGGGAACCAGGGACUGAGACAGAAAAAGGAGCCCUAGGGUGGCCUCUGCCUGGAGGGGACAGCUGGGCCCAGGAUUGGGGGCUGGGGAAACUUGGCUUUGGGGGCAGACAGAGAUAGAGGCUGAAUACCCAGCUGUCUGGUGCUGGCCUUGACCUGGACAAACUCCUCCCCUGCCCCAGGCUGUUUGCCACUCGUGUGUCACCUUGGGAACGCGGAGGUGCAGACUUGCCUUUGCAGAAAUGCAGAGGACAUAGGCUCCAAGGGGCACAGCUGGGCCACGCACAAUUGGCACCUGAGAAUGGGGGCACUCACUCCUGCCUCUCUGUGCCCAGGUUUCUGGAGCAUCCUACUUGCCAUGUCCAUGUCAGGGUGGGAUGAACCCAAGCAGAGCAAAAGUUAGAUUUGUCCCCCUCUCCCGGAGUCCCACUAUGUUGCCCCUGGGCUCCCUAAACCACAGCCCCCCUCAGCUACCAGGCCCAUGUCCCUCUAUCUCACCAAGGCACAGCCCCGCUGCUGGUGACCUGGCUGUCACAACAGUGUCUGAUCCUUAAUCCCCUCCUGGUCUGGGCUUAGCAGGCUUGAGCUGGGCCUGUGGUUCCCACGCCUGCAUCCACUCAGUGAAUCUGCAGCCCUGAGGCGUGGCAGGCGGGAGACAGUGUGAAGCUGUGCCGGCACAGUCACUCAGAGGGUCCUGAUGCCCCAAGUGCACUCACUGCUUGCCCAGGCUGAGCCUGCCCCCCCAUCCCGUCUUCCUAAUUGACUGAGCCCCAUCUCACGGGAGCCUCCUCGCCCUGCCCCAUCUGUGUCCUGCCUGACAGCUCUGUCUUCGCUCCCUGGUCCUUGAGGCUCUUCCUUCCCAGGCACCCUGUGGUCGGUGGCCUGGCCUCUGGUGGCCCUGCUGGUGCCCACCUGUCUCAGUACAAGGCGAGCGGACUGCGGUGGUGGUGAAACCCCCGCUGAGGUCUCAUGCUGAAGAAUUCCAUACUCUUACACUGGAUGUGGUGGCACAUGCUUGGAAUACACAGUUCAAGGCCAACCUGGAAUACACAGUGAGAUCUUAUCUGGAAAAAGCAAACCAAACCAAAAGAAACUAAAGCCAAAAGCAGCAAGGAGAGGACGCCUGUGAAGUGUACAUUAGUCUCUGUCACUUGCUCAUGUAAAUACCUCCACCACCUGCACCACAGGGAACAAAUUCCUGCCUUCCUGUGAGCCUGUCCUUAGGAGGCCCCUGCAGCCCCCAUGAUUGCUCUUGGGCAGCCUCGGGGUCCCUGCAUGCUGCUCCUGGCCUGGGGGUGUGCAUCUCCCACCUUCUCUGCUCCAAGCUUUCCUCUUCCCCACAAGCUCCCCUCUGUGGACCGCAGCUUCCAAGCUGUCCCAAGGACCCUGUCUCCCAGGACAACCCCCCUUCUCUGGUGCAGAGACGUGGGGCCUUGCUUGGGAGGGAGACAUAAACAAAGGGAGCUUGCUGUCCAUGCAGCUUGAGGCUUCUGCCAGGCCUUCUCUCAUGUUCUUCUGGUUGCCUGCCCUGGGGGAGCUGCCUGGGACAAUUGGGAGCUCCCCAAGGAAAGCCCCAGCCUUUAGCUGCACCCCAACCUUGCUGACCCCUGGACCACAGUCUGGGAGAGCCCCGAGUCCAGGACCCAGCAGAGCUACAGCCAGAUCCCUGACCCACUGAGAAAGGAGGGCUAAGUCCCUUCGGUUUGGGGGAUGGUGCGGGUGCAGCCACAGAUGGCAAAUCGAGCCGCCGGCCUCCCCCACAUCUCUAGCCCAAACCCAGCUUUCCUUUUGCCGUCAGUAGCAGCUGCCCUGGGAGUUCAGGCUGCACACCUCACUCAUCUCUGAGGCCCCAGGCCCAGCGUUCCACAGACUGGCCUUACCUGCCAGCGCCCAGCAGGGAGGGCACAGAGCAGGCACUGCCAGCUCAGGAAGGCCAGAGCGGGGUGUCAGGUGGGGAGGCCAGCCACUCCAUCCUGGCUGGCCUGGGGCCACACCUGCUCUAAACCGGGACUGGGGACCCUGGCCUCCCCAUCUCUCUUUUUUUCAAUACUGGGACUUAAAACCAGGGCCUACUCACUGAGCUACAUCCCUGGCUCCUUUUAUUUUAUGUAUUUUAAAUUUGGGGACAGGGUCUCACUCAGUUACUCAGGCUGGACUCAAACUUUGUUUUUUGUACCGAAGAUCAAACUCGAGACCUUGCGCUUGCCAAGCAGGCAGUCGUGAGUUUGAUUCCCGGUACCGAUAAAAAGGAAAAAGACAAAAAAAAAAAAAAAAAAAAAAAGGAAAGAAUCUUAUUUUGGCCCACAUGUCCUAGAUUUUGUUUGGAAAAUGGUCCCUGUGCCCAUAAAAAGGAAAAGGCUGUUGAGUCCAGUCCCCUCCUGGGCCUGUUCCCAAUGGGUCCCAGGCCAGGCCAGGGACUGAGAGGCUGGGGUCACUUCCAGCAAACACAGGCCCUGUUUGGAACCCAGAGCCCUGCCUAGUCAGGCAGGGCUGGCCCUGGGCCUGCUCCUUGAGCCAUUUCCGCCAGACGGGGCCAUUUCCUGUCCUGAGUGACGGAGUUCAUGUCCUGGCAGGACAGCUGGGUCCUGUCUUUGGGAGGGGGCUUCCCUGGGAACUGCCCCUAGCACACAUACCCUGGAGUGUGGCCUGGGUUCCCUGUCCUGUGGGUGGCUGUUCCUGGGGACGGAGCUGAGAGCACCCACCCAGCCUCAGGUCCAGCCAGCUCCUAGCGGCCAUCAGGGGACCAUGGCAGCCUUUACAGGGAGUAAGGAACCCCUCAGAGCCCGGAACCCUCAAACACUUUCACCCAGCCUCAUUUCCUCUGGUCAUAGGACAGAGGACCGGAAGGACAGACACAAGUGCACUCUUGGGCCCUUCAUCUGUUCCCCACUACAAGCAUGAUGGGGCUUUUCUCCUGAGACAAUCGGGAACUCAAAAGCUGCUUUAGCUGAAAACUGACUUUUCACCGGGCAGAUGCCCAGCGAGUCACUAAAAGCAGAAUGAACUUGACCUUCA